Molecule: ribosomal RNA, 420 nt
Filed under: Shigella sonnei
Lineage: Bacteria; Pseudomonadati; Pseudomonadota; Gammaproteobacteria; Enterobacterales; Enterobacteriaceae
Description: partial 23S ribosomal RNA
Rfam family: Bacterial large subunit ribosomal RNA
Source: RNAcentral
GGGUUGUGAGGUUAAGCGACUAAGCGUACACGGUGGAUGCCCUGGCAGUCAGAGGCGAUGAAGGACGUGCUAAUCUGCGAUAAGCGUCGGUAAGGUGAUAUGAACCGUUAUAACCGGCGAUUUCCGAAUGGGGAAACCCAGUGUGAUUCGUCACACUAUCAUUAACUGUAUCCAUAGGUUAAUGAGGCGAACCGGGGGAACUGAAACAUCUAAGUACCCCGAGGAAAAGAAAUCAACCGAGAUUCCCCCAGUAGCGGCGAGCGAACGGGGAGCAGCCCAGAGCCUGAAUCAGUGUGUGUGUUAGUGGAAGCGUCUGGAAAGGCGCGCGAUACAGGGUGACAGCCCCGUACACAAAAAUGCACAUAUUGUGAGCUCGAUGAGUAGGGCGGGACACGUGGUAUCCUGUCUGAAUAUGGGGGG